Molecule: ribosomal RNA, 992 nt
Filed under: Haloarcula hispanica
Lineage: Archaea; Methanobacteriati; Methanobacteriota; Halobacteria; Halobacteriales; Haloarculaceae
Description: bacterial SSU rRNA
Rfam family: Archaeal small subunit ribosomal RNA
Source: RNAcentral
CCGUAAGGUGGUUCAGGAACAAGGACUGGGCAAGACCGGUGCCAGCCGCCGCGGUAAUACCGGCAGUCCGAGUGAUGGCCGAUAUUAUUGGGCCUAAAGCGUCCGUAGCUUGCUGUGUAAGUCCAUUGGGAAAUCGACCAGCUCAACUGGUCGGCGUCCGGUGGAAACUACACAGCUUGGGGCCGAGAGACUCAANGGGUACGUCCGGGGUAGGAGUGAAAUCCUGUAAUCCUGGACGGACCACCAAUGGGGAAACCACGUUGAGAGACCGGACCCGACAGUGAGGGACGAAAGCCAGGGUCUCGAACCGGAUUAGAUACCCGGGUAGUCCUGGCUGUAAACAAUGCUCGCUAGGUAUGUCACGCGCCAUGAGCACGUGAUGUGCCGUAGUGAAGACGAUAAGCGAGCCGCCUGGGAAGUACGUCCGCAAGGAUGAAACUUAAAGGAAUUGGCGGGGGAGCACCACAACCGGAGGAGCCUGCGGUUUAAUUGGACUCAACGCCGGACAUCUCACCGGUCCCGACAGUAGUAAUGACAGUCAGGUUGACGACUUUACUCGACGCUACUGAGAGGAGGUGCAUGGCCGCCGUCAGCUCGUACCGUGAGGCGUCCUGUUAAGUCAGGCAACGAGCGAGACCCACACUUCUAGUUGCCAGCAACACCCNUGCGGUGGUUGGGUACACUAGGAGGACUGCCAUUGCUAAAAUGGAGGAAGGAAUGGGCAACGGUAGGUCAGUAUGCCCCGAAUGGACCGGGCAACACGCGGGCUACAAUGGCUAUGACAGUGGGAUGCAACGCCGAGAGGCGAAGCUAAUCUCCAAACGUAGUCGUAGUUCGGAUUGCGGGCUGAAACCCGCCCGCAUGAAGCUGGAUUCGGUAGUAAUCGCGUGUCAGAAGCGCGCGGUGAAUACGUCCCUGCUCCUUGCACACACCGCCCGUCAAAGCACCCGAGUGGGGUCCGGAUGAGGCCGUCAUGCGACGGUCGAAUCUGU